This is a long non-coding RNA of Scylla paramamosain (green mud crab), 2812 nucleotides long. RefSeq lists it as uncharacterized. The record is from RefSeq and is a predicted model, not a curated record. Lineage: Eukaryota; Metazoa; Arthropoda; Malacostraca; Decapoda; Portunidae. The transcript is spliced from 2 exons.
UUAUCACAUUAAAAUAUAUUGAAUGAAAUGCUAAAUGCUAAAAUACUAUAAGUAUGAUAGAUCUGAACAUGAUAUAUUACAAACUGCUUGCGUGGUGUCACGAUAUCAGCUUCGGAAGCUGUGAAGGUCUCCUUAUCUGCUACCUAAGGAAAACUCUUCAUUAAGGAUUUGAUUAGCAGGGAGCAGCAGCAUCAGCAGGUGUCAGACAACUUAACCACACAGUACAUCACCACCGUCAGAGGACAUUGUACCCUGCGCCUAUGGAGUACGUGAGUAUUUCCACGAAGCCAUCAUGUUGGUGAUUCUCAACGAAGGGUAAUUAUAUUUCUUGAUAAAAAAAAAAAAAAGAAAGAAAAAGACAUGCAUAAUUGCUCUACUUGAUAACUGAUUGGCGGUGUGGAGCAAUGGCAUCCUCUGUAGAUUACUAUUUCCACACUGUUCUGAAUACAUACAUAAAUAUAAGAGGGUAAAUAUGUUUGGGUAGAACCUAAAUAGUGUGUUUUCUUAUCAUUUUAUUUUCUUUGCCUUUAUGUUUAUGCAUCUUUUGUAUGGGGUAAUGGGAUAAAUGAAACACAUCAGGCCGAGGGAAUAAAGGAUAGGGGAGAGACUGAGAACUCAUGUAAGUGUUGUGAGGUGGUGUCAGAGUAGCGAUGAAUAUCUGGUGAUGAGGAUACAGCAUACAAUCUUGAUCAGGUUUCAUUUUUUUUUAUGAACAUAACAUGUAACCUUUUUGCCAUAAAUGUAGGAGAAUUGUAGGUAUGCUCUGGUGAAGAGAAGAAUUACUGUGGCUGAUACUAAUAUUGAGAAAGAUCGUGCAGUCUGCACCAUGCAGUCUUAUAACACACACACACACAAAAAAAAAUACUGAAAAUUGGAGACUGCGAGGGAAAAUCCACUACGAGAUUAAUAAAACUAGCUCAGAGUGGGAAAUGUUUUGCCUGUUGAUGCACUGUCCAUCUCGAAUCCGACUACUGUCCAUGAUACUAUGUUAUCGAGGGGAGAAGUCCUUCAUGAAGUCUGUGCAAAUGUAAUGAGUAGUCCUCUUAUGUUCCGAUUAUGUCCCACAUCUUUAGUGAAGAUUGAUAAAAUCUGUCAGACCUGCAAGGCGUCAGUCGUGACCUGCAGUAUCAUGACAGUAGUGGCAAAGAUAAUAAAACUGUAGAUAAUAAUGCUGCCGGGUCUCGUUACCAUAACGAUGAUGGUGAUGAUGACUGUAAUGAUACUAAAAAAAAGUGCUAAUACAAUGCUGAUGACUAUUUUCAUGUCCUGUGGCACAAGUGUGUAGGCCUGCACAGGUAAUAUAAUGUAGACAGCAGAUUUCGUGAUGUGUACAUGUACCGUGAAGCUGACGAGCAAGUGUUUGCCUCGUGACGCCAAAAUGAUUCGCGACGUGACGACGUGACGGACAAAUGGAGCAGAAACAUAAGAAUCAUAUCAAUGUGGCAUGUAGUCGCUUAAAAUGUUCCUUGAUUUCUUUCGUCAUUUUGUUUCGGAUGUAAUUUAUUUGUAAAACAUAAACUUAAGACCACCGAAAGAGGUACAAUUCAUAAGUGUAUUUAUAAACCUACGCUAAAUGCUCAGUACCAUAAAGAGGGAGGCAGAGAGACUGUAGAGACAAUGCUCUUCCGAGAAAGCAGUGCUGAGUGAUGAAUGUCCACCUUAAGCGCUGCUGUAUCUGAGAGUAUGUAAUAAUACUUGUUUUCCUAAUAUUACACUAAAUGCAUACAGUGUAUGCUUAUUGUACUUAUGUUUAAGCUUAAUGUUUUAAGAUAAAUUUACGUGACGUAUAUAAAGUAAAGAUUAAGUUUAUUUCAAAAAUAAAUUAUUAUCAAGUGUGUAAAAAUGAGUUCACUGCUCAACUGAGUUAAUCAUUUACGCUGAUGCUUGCUAAUGUAUUAAGUACCUAUAAUAUGUUUAUAAUAUGUCAAUAUUUUGGUGACAUGUUAGUAUCUGUAUAUGUGUUAAAUUAUCUAUAUCAUUUAUCAGUGCAAUAUUGAGUUAAUGAUUUCAUUAUAUAAAACUCUAGACAUUAAUUUGCUUCAAUAUAUGUAUUAAUGAUCUGAUGCUUGAUUUUUUUUUAUAUGUGUUAAGUAUAUAACUUGAUAUUUAAAGUUAUAAUGAUUAAUGAUUUAUGACUUGUCAAAACGUUUUAAGUAGUUUUCAGUAUUAUUUUUAUUCUGAUUCAGUGUCUGAUAUUUACUCCAUGGAUUAAAGUCAACAUACUUUCUUGUUGAUUGUAAAUCCCUUUAUAGUAUUUGCUUAUUUUACAGGUAUUCUUAAAGGUAUUGCCAUUCGUCAUCUUGAUUUAAUAAGCAGCAAUAGAAAUAAGAUAAGCAGCUAAGUGUGAUCCUUGGUGAAGUAGGGCUCCGACACUUCCAAGGGGACAGAGAGCAGGGCAGGAGGCAGCCAGGACAAUAUAAGAAUCAUAUCUGCUCUGAACUCUUAACUUUUUGCUCUGGAGACAGAACCUGGAGCAGAAGAAUUUGUGCAUGCAAGGCUGUAGUUAUCGAGAUAUGUUCGUUGGGAACAAGAAAAUAACUGUAUUCACCUCUUGAGACAGGUGCCUGUGCUUCAGGCGGGCAAGGGGCUGCGCCUCUGCUACAUACGAGUGUAGUUCAUAGACCAGAGCAUUGGCAUCUUGCGAAAGUUACAGGGAAGGAGGAUAUGAACACAUGGUUUGAUAUUUUCCUGACCUUGUUCCAAACAGAUGGAGUGUAGCUAGUUAGUUGUCCCUCACCAUAUCCAGCCACACUAGUUGCUGAAAGGAAUGAGGAACCUUACACCUUACACCUCAUUAGCCUACUUUCUGGAA